Molecule: long non-coding RNA, 446 nt
Organism: Cyprinodon tularosa
Lineage: Eukaryota; Metazoa; Chordata; Actinopteri; Cyprinodontiformes; Cyprinodontidae
Exons: 3
Source: RefSeq, a predicted model, not a curated record
CCUCGGCCUCUUCUGUUUACCUUCACAGGUGUCUGUCGUUGACUGGAGGGCGGGGCACGCACACCUGCAAGUGGUUCAGCAGCACCGGCCCUGCACUAUUUGAGCAGCGCUCAGACAGCGGGAGGACGCCAGAGUGUUACCAUUGCGGUUCUCUCUCGUGAAUCAUCUCCUCCUCUCGUGGCGGAUCCUUCCAGGUCCUCUCAGGAGUAUCGAGGUUGGUCACCCAGUCUGUGGGUCCCUGGCCUCCCGUUUCUCCCUGGUUCCUCCCGCUGGUUCAGAUUUCCGGAGGCUGCUCGGACAACUCCUCAUUCCCCCGCUCUCUGGUCACGCCACGCCUGUCACAUCACCAUCAGGCAGCGCCGAGUUCUCACUGCUCCCUCCCGGUCCGGUGUCCGCGCUCUGUGACGAGACCGGUUUCCUGGCAGCGCUCCAUUUCCUGUGUUUUU